Molecule: long non-coding RNA, 1089 nt
Organism: Scleropages formosus (Asian bonytongue)
Lineage: Eukaryota; Metazoa; Chordata; Actinopteri; Osteoglossiformes; Osteoglossidae
Exons: 4
Source: RefSeq, a predicted model, not a curated record
CAGCUCCAAUACUAGAUAGUAUUAGUAAACAUAGUUUACGAAAUAGUAAAUAUAGCAGAGAGAUAGUAAAUAUUGUGGUAAUAAGGCGCUGGAGUGGACGCCCUGGCCACAAGAAUACGCGAACUGGUUCUCCAUUUCGAGUGGCGCGAGGCGCGAAACCCGGAACUGAAGCGCGAGUCACCAGUUCCGUGAGACUGUCUCACUCAGGUCUUGGUUCUUGUGUGCAGUCUCUGGUUACUAUACUGUUCUCAUUUGACCUUGGAACAUAAACAACAACCGCUGCAGCUGAAAACACGCAUGGCAUUUUCUUAAACAUCAAUCGCUGCUCACUGCGACUUCACCAGCCAGAUACCAAGUCAUCCGAAUGCGUUCCAAAUGCUGCACGAAAUGAAGCCCUAACGACGCUGCAGCCUUCUGCUCGGGCCUACAAAAUCCGGGGACUCAACUAAAUCCAUCCGGGACAUCAGAGUCGACUGAAGCGCAGGGGAGCAAUCUGUUCAGGUGGCAGAAUGGUGUGCGAGCUCUUCCUUCUGUCUUCCGUGUGGUUCCUUUUUGUCAUCUUCUGGAUGGAGACAAUCAGCGUGUGGCUCUUCCUCUGCAACUUCUACCAGGAUCGGGCUUUCUACCACUGGGGAGAUGGGGCUUUUGCUGAUGACCCAGGGCACAUGCUGUACAUGCUUGGAAGAGUGGACAGAUCCAGACCAACACAGACCUGAGCUGAGAAAAGAUAGAGACAUCAAGGCGGCGAUGAUGGAGGUGAAGUGUCGGAAAGUGGAACCCGCAGCGAUUUCCUUUCCCCCAUCUUCGCUUUUGUCAGGCAACAUGUCACAGAAAGUGAGGAGUCGGUUCAUACUUGGGAAGACAAACCAUGACCACACACACUGAUCGUGCAAAUGCCUGUAUGUGUAGAGCCAUUAAUAUGAAUAAAAACACUGGCCAUGGUAGCACUUCUGUGUAUGUAGAACUAUAAGUGUGAAAACCAGGAGUGAAUAUUCUGCUCUGUAUUUCUUUUGGAGGGGCUUUAAAUUCUGUUACUAUUCGAGUGUGUUCCACUGAUGUAUCGAUAAGUGACCCAUUGUAAGUAGCGUA